Molecule: long non-coding RNA, 472 nt
Filed under: Monodelphis domestica (gray short-tailed opossum)
Lineage: Eukaryota; Metazoa; Chordata; Mammalia; Didelphimorphia; Didelphidae
Description: lncRNA (ENSMODG00000046791.1)
Source: RNAcentral
GACUCAUUAGUGUUAACAUUUAUAAUCAAUAAAACCACAGAUGGCUAUUUCAGUAAUAGCAUUAGGGAUGAAAGUGACCUUCUAGGUCAUUUUAAGCUGAAAAAACUGAAGAUCAAAAAAGGAGACAGAACAAGGAACAAUACAUCAAAUUCAAAAGAAGCAGUUUUAUAAUAGAAGGAGGAGAAAAAGGCAGAAAGAGGUCACAGUGGAAAGAGCAAGGAGUCUGGAGCUGUCAUUCUGUGUUGGAACUCUUACUGAAGACACCACCAGAACUUCUGGCUGAGGACUACCAGGAAAUCCAUGUGGAGAUCAGAAAGCCCCUUUCAGGUCCUGAACUGGACUUCACUUUGCCAGAGAAGCACUUGGGGUUGGUAGGCUAGAUCAGGCUUUAUCUCCUUCCUAUAUUUCCCACUUUCACUAUCUCUAUCUUGUUGUAAAUAAAAGCUGCUAACAAUUCUUUUGACUUAGGGGC